Molecule: ribosomal RNA, 392 nt
Filed under: uncultured Glomeromycotina
Lineage: Eukaryota; Fungi; Glomeromycota
Description: SSU rRNA
Rfam family: Eukaryotic small subunit ribosomal RNA
Source: RNAcentral
AGCAGCCGCGGUAAUUCCAGCUCCAAUAGCGUAUAUUAAAGUUGUUGCAGUUAAAAAGCUCGUAGUUGAAUUUCGGAAUCAAUAUGUUGGUCGUGCCUUGGUACGUACUAAUUUAUUGGUUUCUUCCUUCUGACGAACCAUGAUGUCAUUAAUUUGGUGUCUUGGGGAAUCAGGACUGUUACUUUGAAAAAAAUUAGAGUGUUUAAAGCAGGCUCACGCUUGAAUACAUUAGCAUGGAAUAAUGAAAUAGGACGUUUGAUUCUAUUUUGUUGGUUUCUAGGAUCGACGUAAUGAUUAAUAGGGAUAGUUGGGGGCAUUAGUAUUCAAUUGUCAGAGGUGAAAUUCUUGGAUUUAUUGAAGACUAACUACUGCGAAAGCAUUUGCCAAGGAUG